This 1257-nucleotide long non-coding RNA is filed under the name Mus caroli (Ryukyu mouse). RNAcentral describes it as "lncRNA (MGP_CAROLIEiJ_G0003325.1)". The record is from RNAcentral. Lineage: Eukaryota; Metazoa; Chordata; Mammalia; Rodentia; Muridae.
CUCUGCUUAACCCUCCUGUGCCAGGCUCACGAACAGGACACAGACAGCUUCUUGGAACCUUAGGCAUGGUGGAACCUUGGGCACGGGCUGCUAGAAAAUGGAACUGACCAGGAGACGCCUGCCACACACGGCCUUUGUCUUUCUGAGAGAACUGAUGGGAGGCCGCACCAGCUACUCAGGAAGCUGAGGAUGGAACCUGGGACCUUUCCCUUCAUGGGCUGGGCAAGUUCCUUCCUCAGCUUCUGGGAUUUUCUCCAGACAGCAAAGCCCCAGGUGAAGAGAGAACUCGCUGGGGCUCCCUGUACCUCCCUGAGAUUUAUGGUGCGUCUGUGAUAAAAGGCCACCCCGGCCAGGCACCUCACCUGUGUGGGUGUUCACAUGGUUCCUAAGAAGAGUGACGGUCCGGAAGGCCUUCAGGCACAGGUGACACAGGUGUGGCCUCUCAUUGCUGUGAAUUUUGAUGUGACGAUUGAAAGUUGAGAGCUUGGAAGAAGUGAACGGGCAGGUGUCGCACUGAAAGGUCUGAGGUUUUCCUGUAGAGAGAAGACACACACCAGUGUAGCUGCAAAGAUCGUCCCUUGAGCAGUCCCUCAGAGGCCGACGUGACUUCCUUAGCCUAGUACUGGUGAGGAUUAUGAGAUGUCUCAAAACCUCAGGACACUCUGUUUUUGAUGAAGAACAUCUUGUUAAGAAGUACCCAGCUUCUGUUUCCUGCCACAGGGCUGUCCAGGUCCCUAACCCACCCUCCCUGUUGUUAACAAUAGACAACAGUGUGCUCCCCUCAACUCCCAACGCCGGUAACUGCAGUUCCAGGGAAUCUGAUGCCCUCUUCUGGCCACUAUGGGAACUGCACACAGGUGGUGCACAGAAAUACAUUCUUUUGUUUGUUUGUUUGUUUGUUUUUGUUUUUUUUUUCGAGACAGCCAAAGCUACAGAGAGAAACCCUGUCUUGAAAUCAUGAAACAAACAAACAAAACAACCAGUCUUAAUAAACUGUCAUUUACAGUGUGGUAUAGAUCAAGGAGGUCAGAAGACAAAGUCUUCUCCAAGCAGGGAGUCCCAGAAACAAGUCUCCCAUAAACAUGGACCCAAGUGGGUACCCAAGUUCUCUGUUGGGUAAAAUGAAGCUCCCCCCACCCCGUAGCCCCCAAUGCCUUCCCAGAAUCCUCCACCCAAGCCAGGAGAGCUCUGGGAAACUGGCAUGAAGCUGAACAAAGCCACAGCCCACAGCCACAAGUGACUAUUUAAAUUUGUAUC